AGUACUUCGGGUAUCGUUGAUUUGAGCUUAAGUGCUGUUUUCGCAGAAUCUACCGUCGACUGUUAGUAUUUCGGCUCGUUCUCCGCGUAGGAGCGUCGGAUCGCGACGAAACUUGGUUCAUUGGAUUCUAGACUUCGAGAGGAAUCCACAGAGCCCUCACUUGCAAUUUUUGGUCAAGCUUGGCGUUAGCUUGGCGACCGGACUUGGAGAUCCCCGAUUGAUCCAGCAGAGUUCCUUUUAGGCCGAGGCUUCGUUUGCUGCCAGGAGAUAGCACUUUAGAGCCACAGGUUCCGGCUGCUGCACCGUCUGCGGACCAGGAUCGAGGCAAGGGCGUCGCG
Long non-coding RNA from Ananas comosus (pineapple), 338 nucleotides. RefSeq lists it as uncharacterized. NCBI's taxonomy places the organism in Eukaryota, Viridiplantae, Streptophyta, Magnoliopsida, Poales, Bromeliaceae. The transcript has 3 exons. The record is from RefSeq and is a predicted model, not a curated record.